This is a non-coding RNA of Caretta caretta (loggerhead turtle), 515 nucleotides long. The record is from RefSeq and is a predicted model, not a curated record. Lineage: Eukaryota; Metazoa; Chordata; Testudines; Cheloniidae.
GUUUUGGGCAUUCCACUGCAAGCAACCGAAGUUUAGAGUCACCAAAUGGCUGGAGGAGGAGGAGGAGGUGAUGGUGCUGCUGCUGCCCUCCUUAUAAUUUUUAGUCUCCAUGGAUGCUGCAGAGGAAGGAGGAGGAGAGCACAGAAUUAUGCUGUGUGGAAUCAGAAUAUUGUCAGUAAUGAAAAGAAAUGGGAGAAGAGAGUUCUAAAAGUAAGAGCCCAGGGAAGAGAAGGAGAGAGUGAAAAAAUAUAAAAGGGGAGAUGCCCUGUAGAAAGGAGAGAUUGGAUGAAAGUGAAGAAGAGGAUAAAGCAGAAAGAAAGAGAAAAGGACAGCAAAAAAAAAAAAAGGUAAAUGAAGAGGUGUGAAAAGGACAGAUAACAAAGGGGAAGUGAGCAGAAGGAUGGGUCAGAAAAUCUCUUUCCAAUUGAGAGAGAGGCAGCAGAUGGGAAACUAUGGGCCUUACUAAAUGAAGCAGAACAGGUCCAGUUCCACUGUGUGCUGGUGCAGGAACUGGG